CCUCCCUAAGCAUAUCCGACAUUUAAAGGAGAUGGAGUUUGUCCAGCUGGUCCAUAGAAACAUGAUGGUAUCAGAAUAUGCUCGUAAAUUCCUAGAACUGGGCCGAUACUCCCCUGAGACAUUGAUAGAUGAGGGCAGGAAGGCUAGGAGGUUCCAGUGGUGCCUCCACCCAGAGAUGAAACAGCACUUAUUGGUACUAGAGCUCAAGACA
This 211-nucleotide long non-coding RNA is filed under the name Carica papaya (papaya). RNAcentral's name for it is "long non-coding RNA (CPAP_LNC000392)". The record is from RNAcentral. Lineage: Eukaryota; Viridiplantae; Streptophyta; Magnoliopsida; Brassicales; Caricaceae.